Molecule: ribosomal RNA, 899 nt
Filed under: uncultured bacterium
Lineage: Bacteria
Description: bacterial SSU rRNA
Rfam family: Bacterial small subunit ribosomal RNA
Source: RNAcentral
AGAGUUUGAUCCUGGCUCAGAGUGAACGCUAGCGGCGUGGUUAAGACAUGCAAGUCGAGCGAUGAAGUCCCUUCGGGGAUGGAAUAGCGGCAAACGGGUGCGUAACACGUGAGCAACCUGCCUUGAAGUGGGGGAUAGCCCGGGGAAACCCGGAUUAAUACCGCAUGUGGUCCCUUUUCGCAUGGGAAGUGGACCAAAGCUUGAAAAGGCGCUUCAAGAGGGGCUCGCGGCCUAUCAGCUUGUUGGUGAGGUAAAGGCUCACCAAGGCGAAGACGGGUAGCUGGUCUGAGAGGAUGAUCAGCCACACUGGGACUGAGAUACGGCCCAGACACCUACGGGUGGCAGCAGUUUCGAAUCAUUCACAAUGGGGGAAACCCUGAUGGUGCAACGCCGCGUGGAGGAUGAAGGCCUUCGGGUUGUAAACUCCUGUCACCAGGGAACAAACAGUCGGUUCGUAGCCGGCUCUGAGUUAACCUGGAGAGGAAGAGGUGGCUAACUCCGUGCCAGCAGCCGCGGUAAUACGGAGACCUCAAGCGUUACUCGGAUUCACUGGGCGUAAAGAGUAUGUAGGCUGUCUGGUAUGUCAGGUGUGAAAGCCCGGGGCUCAACCUCGGAAUUGCGCCUGAAACUACCGGACUCGAGGCCUGGAGAGGGGAGUGGAAUUCCUGGUGUAGCGGUGAAAUGCGUAGAUAUCAGGAGGAACACCAAUGGCGAAGGCAGCUCCCUGGACAGGUUCUGACGCUGAGAUACGAAAGCGUGGGUAGCGAAAGGGAUUAGAUACCCCUGUAGUCCACGCCGUAAACGUUGUACACUAGGUUUCGGAGGGCCUACCCCUUCGGAGCUCCAGCUAACGCGUUAAGUGUACCGCCUGAGGACUACGGCCGCAAGGCUAAAACUCA